UAGUCAUAUGCUUGUCUCAAAGCUUAAGCCAUGCAAGUCUCAGUACAGACUAUAUUAAAGUGAAACCGCAAAAGGCUCAGUAAACCAGUUUUAAUUUACUAGAGUUAACUUGACUGUGCUUGGAUAACUGUGGUAAUUCUAGAGCUAAUACAUGCAACAAAGCCGUGACCAUUCGUGGUCAGGGCGCUUUUAUUAGACCAAGACCAAUCGCCCGGCCAGUCCGGGCGUUAAGUUGAGGAACCUAGAUAACACAGCAGAUCGCAUGGUCUUUGUACCGGCGACCUAUCUUUCAAAUGCCUGACUUAUCAACUGACGAUGGUAGACUCUGUGUCUACCAUGGCUGUUACGGGUAACGGGGAAUCAGGGUUCGAUUCCGGAGAGGGAGCCUGAGAAACGGCUACCACAUCCAAGGAAGGCAGCAGGCACGCAAAUUACCCACUCCCGGAACGGGGAGGUAGUGACAAAAAAUAACGAUACGGGACUCGAUAUGAGGCCUCGUAAUCGGAAUGAGUACACUCUAAAUCCUUUAACAAAAAUCUAUUGGAGGGCAAGUCUGGUGCCAGCAGCCGCGGUAAUUCCAGCUCCAAUAGCGUAUAUUAAAGUUGUUGCGGUUAAAAAGCUCGUAGUUGGUUCUGCGUCCCGCGCUGUCGGUACACCGUUUGUCGGUGACACUGGCAUGACGCGGGAUGUCCUGUCGGUGGCGGCGGAGACCAUAUCGCCGUCGGCUAACACCGCGGCGUGUUGGCCUUCUGUCGCCGGCUUUAUCCUACCGCGGUGCUCUUCACUGAGUGUCGAGGUAGGCCGACACGUUUACUUUGAACAAAUUAGAGUGCUUAAAGCAGGCAAAAAUCUCUGCCAGAAUAGUGGUGCAUGGAAUAAUGGAACAGGACCUUGGUUCUAUUCUGUUGGUCUCCGGAACACAAGGUAAUGAUCAAUGUGGACAGGCGGGGGCAUUCGUAUUGCGGCGUUAGAGGUGAAAUUCUUGGAUCGUCGCAAGACGCACUAGAGCGAAAGCAAUUGCCAAGUAUGUCUUAAUUGAUCAAGAACGAAAGUUAGAGGUUCGAAGGCGAUCA
RNAcentral lists this ribosomal RNA (1073 nucleotides) under Cimex sp. RNAcentral describes it as "SSU rRNA". It matches the Rfam family "Eukaryotic small subunit ribosomal RNA", at positions 21 to 1010 of the family's 1831-position model. The record is from RNAcentral. Lineage: Eukaryota; Metazoa; Arthropoda; Insecta; Hemiptera; Cimicidae.